CCCUUAGAUGCUCUGGGCCGCACGCGCGCUACACUGAUGCAUUCAACGAGUCUAAAACCUGGUCUGAUAGGGCUGGGUAAUCUUUUGAAUGUGCAUCGUGAUUGGGAUAGAUGAUUGCAAUUUUUCAUCUUCAACGAGGAAUGCCUAGUAAACGCAAGUCAUCAGCUUGCAUUGAUUACGUCCCUGCCCUUUGUACACACCGCCCGUCGCUCCUACCGAUUGAAUGAUCCGAUGAAUAUCAUGGAUUGAGGAUGCAAGUAGGUUAGCCUAUCUUCAUCUUCGAGAAGUGAAGUAAAUCUUAUCAUUUAGAGGAAGGAGAAGUCGUAACA
Molecule: ribosomal RNA, 329 nt
Filed under: uncultured eukaryote
Lineage: Eukaryota
Description: partial 18S ribosomal RNA
Rfam family: Eukaryotic small subunit ribosomal RNA
Source: RNAcentral